This 342-nucleotide small RNA is filed under the name Arabidopsis thaliana (thale cress). Its description in RNAcentral is "ATSL210240". The record is from RNAcentral. Lineage: Eukaryota; Viridiplantae; Streptophyta; Magnoliopsida; Brassicales; Brassicaceae.
GGAUGAGGUGUUAUUCUAAAGAUGAUGUAUUAGGUCCACAUAUAAUACCAAUCGGAGGACAUUUUCUAGAUUAUUUUGGCACUAACUUUUGGGGUACCACCCGUUUUAUGUGUACUUUGAGACAAGGUCCUAACUAUAUACACUAUCAAAGCUUUACGGCAUUCAAGCUUUUCAGUAUGGAGGAUCAUGGAGGCCUAUGGGAUUGGAGAGCUAGAGAAGAUGGGAUCUAUUUAAAGAAAGAAGGUAACAAGUUUAUUAAAAAUCCGGUUAAUAUGCAUAAAGUGUAUGAUUGGAUAAAUUAAAAUUCUUAACAAGCUAUCUAAGAAUAAUAAUUAAAAAAAA